Molecule: long non-coding RNA, 376 nt
Organism: Vicia villosa (hairy vetch)
Lineage: Eukaryota; Viridiplantae; Streptophyta; Magnoliopsida; Fabales; Fabaceae
Exons: 3
Source: RefSeq, a predicted model, not a curated record
GUUUGGGAUAUGCACGCUUAGAGGAAAAAAUUUUAGAGGAGACGAAAAGUGAGGAAACCUCACUUCCAGUACAUGUGUUGUGGAAGGAAGCUCGUGUGGGCAAGAAUCGAGCUGUUGAUCCCGAUGUUCAAAAAGUUUAUGAUGAAUGUGAGACCAUGUCGCAAUCGGUAUCCACCGGUGAGGACCAGGAUAAUAGGAGCGUACUUAGUAGAGCACUAGAUGUUCCUGAGUAUCCCGGUCAGGUGAGGGGUAAAGGUCAUGGUGUGACUCCAACCUCUUUCUAUAAGCAUUCUAGGAGAAGAAAUCCCACCAAUGAAGAAGUGUUGCAAAAAUUGCAGGAAUUACAAGCACAAGUCUCUGAAUUGCAAAGAGAUAA